Molecule: long non-coding RNA, 504 nt
Filed under: Bos indicus x Bos taurus (hybrid cattle)
Lineage: Eukaryota; Metazoa; Chordata; Mammalia; Artiodactyla; Bovidae
Description: lncRNA (ENSBIXG00000029714.1)
Source: RNAcentral
CGGCAUCGUUUCUCCCAGGACCAUGCAAACUGCACCCCCCCCCCGCCUUUUUUUUAAACAAAACACGGAAACUUGGCAGCCACCUCUCUGAGGUCUGCCCAGCACGUCCCACGCGGUCUUCGUCCAAAUAAUGAGAGAGACAGACGGCACUCUAGGAGCCGUGUCCCAUAAUGAAGCAGUUGUUCAUGGCUCUCACGGGUUGCUUCGGGGACGUGUCUUCCAGUCUCGGAGACGUGAUGAGAGGCAGAGAAGUCUUAUUCCCAUGUGUAAGGCCAUUCCCAGCGGCAAACAUCUGGGGGAGAAGGCGCUCCGCUGGCAAGUUAAGAAGUGGCCGAGGUCAACUCUGGCAUUAGUACCCUUCCUUCUCCGGUAUGAGGAUGCGAAUGCCAGGAUAGCCUGGAGCUGGGGUCUUUCUAGAGAGACGGCGAGGACCCAGAGGGUAAGGACGUCAUUAGAAGGAGUCACGUGGUCAUGAUGCCUCUGGGUCCGAGAGGGCAGGUACUU